GGAGCCCCAGCUGACGGAGAGGGAGCCCCAGCUGAUGAAGCGUCAAGGCCCCAGCUGACAAAGCAUCAAGGCGAGUUAAGCAGCAGAGCGAAAAGAGGAGCUGAUGGAAGGAACCCUGUAUCCCAUCUCUACCAUUGAAGCAGCAGCAUCUAGGGUAGGCGACUUUCUAGAUACAGACGCACCCCUUUCCGUGCUCCAUCCUGACAAGCAAGAGGCAUUAUCGGAGUCCAAGUGCACAUUCCAUCCAGGCCAAAACAUGCAAGAAGGGUGCCAAGCAGGUCCAGGAGAGGGUUUUGGAGGACCACAUUCAACCACUGGGCCUAAGCGUCCUUGCCCCUAGCUAAGAUCUUCAGAGGAAGUCUUUCUGGCUUCAUCACAAUCAAUGGCAUGCCACUUUAUGACAUCUAGGAAGCAGGUCUUCUUGGUGGUGGCACCCACCUUCUGGAACACACUUCCACGUGCAAUUCAGGAGGUGGAAACAGAAGCUAGUUUUUUUUUAUUUUAAAAAUGCACCUUUUAACACUGGCUGUCCCUGAAUUGUAACG
Long non-coding RNA from Rhineura floridana, 545 nucleotides. RefSeq lists it as uncharacterized. The transcript has 3 exons. NCBI's taxonomy places the organism in Eukaryota, Metazoa, Chordata, Lepidosauria, Squamata, Rhineuridae. The record is from RefSeq and is a predicted model, not a curated record.